Molecule: long non-coding RNA, 673 nt
Filed under: Struthio camelus australis
Lineage: Eukaryota; Metazoa; Chordata; Aves; Struthioniformes; Struthionidae
Description: lncRNA (ENSSCUG00000002155.1)
Source: RNAcentral
UGUUCCUUCACACAGUAAUAAGAUAUUUGUACUAAGAAUCAAGCAAAGGGAGCACGUCUCCACUGGAGUAACUUUCCUGUAUUAUAAAUGCACUUAAUCUCUUUCACAUUUACAAAAGCUUUGUUAAAUAUCUGUUCUGCAUGUUUCUGGUACUUCCUUUUUUGCCCAUCAUCCUGGUUCUAGCCCAACCUUAACAGGGAGGGUAAGACAGGCCAAGGGUGUUGAUCUUUGUAUAUGUUUCAUUUCAGCAUAUCUCAAAAUUGGAAAAAUCCCAAUACUUAGGAUCCCAGGACUGACGUACACAGCUGUCGAUUGCCGCCCUGCACAGCGCUGUAUUGUGUGCCAUAACUACCACAAGAAAAAGAAAAACUGACGUACGGGAUGAGUUGCUUGCUGUUGCAUCUCUUACACUGAACAGUAAAGACAGAGACCGUCAUGAGUGAAGAUAUUUUAACUCAUAUAAUUCUUUAUUCUAAAACUUUGAUUACUUUUUUUAUUUUAAUGGAGGAAAAACUCCUACAUCUGCUUUAGGAUUGCAGAUGAAGUACAGAGGAUCCAAACUAUCUCCUUGUUAAAAAUGCAUUCUACUAGAAGUACUAUUUUCCAAAAUCAAUGAUGUGUUUGGUUAUAUCCUUCAAGGAAAGGUUUGGGACAUUGGUUACUGUUUUGCUUU